GUAGGGGGGCCAAGCGUUGUCCGGAAUUAUUGGGCGUAAAGAGCUCGUAGGGCGGUUUGGUAAGUCGGAUGUGAAAUCUCCGCGCUCAACGCGGAGCGGCCAUUCGGAACUGCCCAUGACUUGAGUCCGGCAGGGGAGUGUGGAAUUCCCGGUGUAGCGGUGAAAUGCGCAGAUAUCGGGAGGAACACCCGUAGCGAAGGCGGCACUCUGGGCCGGUACUGACGCUGAGGAGCGAAAGCAUGGGGAGCGAACAGGAUUAGAUACCCUGGUAGUCCAUGCCGUAAACGUUGGGCACUAGGUGUGGGACCCUAUCGACGGGUUCCGUGCCGUAGCUAACGCAUUAAGUGCCCCGCCUGGGGAGUACGGCCGCAAGGCUA
This 377-nucleotide ribosomal RNA is filed under the name uncultured organism. RNAcentral's name for it is "partial 16S ribosomal RNA". It matches the Rfam family "Bacterial small subunit ribosomal RNA", at positions 525 to 896 of the family's 1533-position model. The record is from RNAcentral.